GAUGUCAAUGGCCGCAUAGAGUAGUGUAUUGUAGCUACAUGAAUGGGAGCG
Molecule: transfer RNA, 51 nt
Filed under: Polyacanthorhynchus caballeroi
Lineage: Eukaryota; Metazoa; Acanthocephala; Polyacanthocephala; Polyacanthorhynchidae
Description: tRNA-Tyr
Source: RNAcentral